RNAcentral lists this transfer RNA (75 nucleotides) under Candidatus Nanohalobium constans. RNAcentral's name for it is "tRNA-Thr". It matches the Rfam family "tRNA". From Rfam's summary of the family: Transfer RNA (tRNA) molecules are approximately 80 nucleotides in length. Lineage: Archaea; Nanobdellati; Candidatus Nanohalarchaeota; Candidatus Nanohalobia; Candidatus Nanohalobiales; Candidatus Nanohalobiaceae. The record is from RNAcentral.
GCCUCGAUAGCUCAGCUUGGCUAGAGCAGUUCCCUUGUAAGGAACAGGUCCAGGGUUCAAAUCCCUGUCGGGGCU